AAUAAGUGAUGACAAAAUGUUUCGGUCCCAGAUGAUGUCCAGUGAUAACACUGUUAUCAUUUUUCUGAUGUU
Small nucleolar RNA from Manis javanica (Malayan pangolin), 72 nucleotides. RefSeq annotates it as small nucleolar RNA SNORD73. NCBI's taxonomy places the organism in Eukaryota, Metazoa, Chordata, Mammalia, Pholidota, Manidae. The record is from RefSeq and is a predicted model, not a curated record.